Molecule: ribosomal RNA, 165 nt
Filed under: uncultured bacterium
Lineage: Bacteria
Description: partial 16S rRNA
Rfam family: Bacterial small subunit ribosomal RNA
Source: RNAcentral
UAGGGAAUCUUCCACAAUGGACGCGAAGUCUGAUGGAGCAACGCCGCGUGAGUGAAGAAGGUCUUCGGAUCGUAAAACUCUGUUGUUAGAGAAGAACACGAGUGAGAGUAACUGUUCAUUCGAUGACGGUAUCUAACCAGCAAGUCACGGCUAACUACGUGCCAG